Molecule: ribosomal RNA, 1021 nt
Filed under: Lentilactobacillus kefiri
Lineage: Bacteria; Bacillati; Bacillota; Bacilli; Lactobacillales; Lactobacillaceae
Description: bacterial SSU rRNA
Rfam family: Bacterial small subunit ribosomal RNA
Source: RNAcentral
CUGAGAGGGUAAUCGGCCACAUUGGGACUGAGACACGGCCCAAACUCCUACGGGAGGCAGCAGUAGGGAAUCUUCCACAAUGGACGAAAGUCUGAUGGAGCAACGCCGCGUGAGUGAUGAAGGGUUUCGGCUCGUAAAACUCUGUUGUUGGAGAAGAACAGGUGUCAGAGUAACUGUUGACAUCUUGACGGUAUCCAACCAGAAAGCCACGGCUAACUACGUGCCAGCAGCCGCGGUAAUACGUAGGUGGCAAGCGUUGUCCGGAUUUAUUGGGCGUAAAGCGAGCGCAGGCGGUUUCUUAGGUCUGAUGUGAAAGCCUUCGGCUUAACCGGAGAAGUGCAUCGGAAACCAGGAGACUUGAGUGCAGAAGAGGACAGUGGAACUCCAUGUGUAGCGGUGAAAUGCGUAGAUAUAUGGAAGAACACCAGUGGCGAAGGCGGCUGUCUGGUCUGUAACUGACGCUGAGGCUCGAAAGCAUGGGUAGCGAACAGGAUUAGAUACCCUGGUAGUCCAUGCCGUAAACGAUGAGUGCUAAGUGUUGGAGGGUUUCCGCCCUUCAGUGCUGCAGCUAACGCAUUAAGCACUCCGCCUGGGGAGUACGACCGCAAGGUUGAAACUCAAAGGAAUUGACGGGGGCCCGCACAAGCGGUGGAGCAUGUGGUUUAAUUCGAUGCUACGCGAAGAACCUUACCAGGUCUUGACAUCUUCUGCCAACCUAAGAGAUUAGGCGUUCCCUUCGGGGACAGAAUGACAGGUGGUGCAUGGUUGUCGUCAGCUCGUGUCGUGAGAUGUUGGGUUAAGUCCCGCAACGAGCGCAACCCUUAUUGUUAGUUGCCAGCAUUCAGUUGGGCACUCUAGCAAGACUGCCGGUGACAAACCGGAGGAAGGUGGGGAUGACGUCAAAUCAUCAUGCCCCUUAUGACCUGGGCUACACACGUGCUACAAUGGACGGUACAACGAGUCGCGAAACCGCGAGGUCAAGCUAAUCUCUUAAAGCCGUUCUCAGUUCGGAUUGCAGGCU